AGAGGAAAGGCAGCCCUAAAGGGAAUACAGUUUUUGUCUGGUGCCCAGAGCCUAUCUACCCCUACUUGGGCUGCCAGAGAGUGGAGCUUGGGACACGACCAGUGUGGAAUAGGAUGGAAAAAAUAUUUCUCUGUACACUGAUCACCACACUGCUUGCAGCAGGGAGCUAUCAACCGAGAACCAACUACAUAAGGGGGUUGUUAUUUGUGGAGGAGCUUUCAGGUCCUCUAAACCUACCUCCCACUCUCGGCAGGAAUCCCUUAUAGAACCUCCCUGUGGGAUGAACGUUAGCUUGGCCCUGAUCCCUGCAUUAACAGGUAGCGCUGUUUACUAUAAAGUAAAUUCAGAUUCCAGGACCUCCACCUUGGUUGUUUCUGAUUUGGCAGGGUUGGGGCGGGGCUUUGAGCAUUCGCCUUUUCAAAUAAUGCUCGAGGUGAUUCUGAUGUCAGCCAGAGUUGAGAGAGAAGAUUGUUAUGAAAGGACACAAAUACCUCAUCACGGUGCUUUUUGUUUGUGAAGUGCUCACUAAGGCGUGAACAGCGUCAUGGUGGGGCUCCUGCAGGCUUUAUAUUUAUACCCCGUUUCUUAUUUCUCACACCCACUCUGGUAGAUAGAUCCCUAUUUCAAAAAUGAGUGAAUUAGGGUUCAGGGAAGUGAAACCUGUGUGCCGGCUGGGGACUGACAGUUGGAACCCCAAUGUACAAAUGAAACCAGGGAACAGUGGGUGUGACGAGCACUUGAGGAGCGACAGAGAGUUAUGACCUCGAACCCACAAGUGAGACUGCAAACACAAGUAGGUGGGAGCCCAGCGGCAGGAGACUGACACUGCUGGAAUCAGGGAGGGGGCAGUGCUGUUUAAGAGCUUCUGACACACUCAGUUCCUCCCUUCAUCCUAAGAGACCUGGGCUCACUAGCAGAGGGGCUUUGGCAAGUUACUUGAUGGAUUAGGGCCUCAGUUUCUUCAUCUGUGAAGUGGAGAUAAUAAUAGUGCCUGCCUCCUGCUGCAAGUCUAGUCAUCAGUAUCAUCAACAUUGGUGGUACACCUGCUGGGUACCAGUCCUGGGGUGGGCGUGCUCCUCUCUAGAAGAUAAAAGCCCAUAUAGAGACUAUGGUGGAAGGAGCAGGACAAGAGAAUCAGAAGCUCACCUCAUUCUUAAUGUGAAGAGACAUUAAGAUCAGGAAAGCCAGAUGCUUGAUGUUCUCUCUCAUACCCAUAGCAGAUGGGUGCCUCACUGGGUUCCCCCAGAAGCUGAUGGUGAGCAGGGGGGUGGCAGCCACUUUUAUUUUCUCUUUUCUUUUCUUGUCUUCUUUUCUUUUCUUGGAUCUUACUCUGUCACCCAGGCUAGAGUGCAGUAGUGUGAGUAUGGCUUAUUGCAGCCUUUAACUCCUGGGCUCAAGCAACCCUCCUGUCUCAUCCUCCUAAGUAGGUGGGACUACAGGUGUGUGCCACCAUGCCCAGCUAAUUUUUGUUGUAGAGAUGGGGUCUCACUCUAUUGCCCAGGCUGGUCUUGAACUCCUGGCCUCAAGCAAUCCUCCUGCCUCAGUCUCCCAAAGUGCUGUGAUUGCAGGUGUGAGCCACUGCACUCAGCCAGCAGCCACCCAUUUCUUACAGCUGCUCCAGUGUGAGGGGGUAACAAAAGGCUGCUUUCAAGGCAGCAGCCCAGCCCCCAUGUUUCCUGCCUGGUCCCUGAGGAGUGCACAAGUGAUCAGGAGAGAUUCUUCUUUUGGUCACAGGGAUCUUAAUGAUCACUGGGACUUGGGCUGUUUAAGAUGUCACUUAGAAGUUCAAAUCUACUUCCAGAUGGCUUCCAAGCGAGGGAUGGCCUCUACAGUGAGGCCAAUCAUGUGGUAUAUUCUUACCUAAGUGGGCCUUGCUGCCCUGCACAAUGGCAUCUCGGCCCAUGGGCCAGCCUCGUAAGGUCUUUAAACCUAUGACCACCAGGUGAUCUUCUCUGGGGAGCAGCAGAACUUCCAUGAGUCUGUCCAGGGAUCUUAUUUAGAGAUGAGUCAUACUUUUCUACGCUGUCAGCUCUAGGUUGAAGUAGAAUGUACCAGCAACAGACUAGGAUGACCUCGCAGCUAGCUGUCCAUAGGAAUACACCUCUUCUUUCUUCCAACCUCUCAGUUUCCUGGCGUUUCCUCUAAGUUAAUGUCUUGCUAGAAUGGUUUGAGUUGACAUUAACUGUCUGCUAUGUUUUAUGCAGCACAUGGCCACCUACCAAGUGGCACUUUCCAUUUUGGGUAUGGGGAGCAGGGUAUAUUUUAUACCUCCAAUCCCAUUGUUCUUUAUGAAUCUUUGUUCCUUCACCCCUCACUUCCCAAAUCGAUCACUUUGCUUCUUGAUUAUGAUAUCCCUGUGGGUGAACCCGUAGAUAGCAGAAACUGAGCUGUCUCUGCUGUUGAUAAUUUUAGCUCUUCUUGGAACUCCUUUCUUUUUGCAAAUGCCAACCAGGUGUCCCCAAGUAAGAGAUGAUACUUGUUUGUUUGGUAAAGGCACCCAGAUAAGAAGAGUCAGAAUGAACAGCUCCAAAAGAGAAGUGGUUUCCUCGGUCACCGACUCACCACAUUAAACAUUCACCCUGGCUCACUGUCUGAAAUGAGUCAGUGGUCCUUUCAGAAUUCCCUUUACAACAGUGUUUCAAAGAAAUCUGUGACUGAGGUUGCAAAUCAUUUUUUCUUCACUGCA
This 2686-nucleotide long non-coding RNA is filed under the name Homo sapiens (human). RNAcentral's name for it is "HSALNT0306014". The record is from RNAcentral. Lineage: Eukaryota; Metazoa; Chordata; Mammalia; Primates; Hominidae.